This 268-nucleotide non-coding RNA is filed under the name Clostridium sp. Its description in RNAcentral is "T-box sequence". It matches the Rfam family "T-box leader". From Rfam's summary of the family: Uncharged tRNA acts as the effector for transcription antitermination of genes in the T-box leader family. T-boxes are found upstream of many aminoacyl-tRNA synthetase genes and some amino acid biosynthetic genes usually in Gram-positive bacteria. The anticodon of a specific tRNA base pairs to a specifier sequence within the T-box motif, and the NCCA acceptor tail of the tRNA base pairs to a conserved bulge in the T-box antiterminator hairpin. The record is from RNAcentral. Lineage: Bacteria; Bacillati; Bacillota; Clostridia; Eubacteriales; Clostridiaceae.
UUAAAUGCUAUGAAAAGAAAUAGUAAAAGUAACUAUCUUUAACAGAGAGCUACCGUUUGGUGAGAGGGGCAAUUGAUUUUACUUUGAACACAUCUUUGAGCUGAACACCGAAAAGAAAUUCUCUUAGUAGGCUGAUUCCGGAUUCCCUGCACCCGUUAUAGUGCUAGAGUAUAAGCAAAUAUUUUUUGCCGUACUCAAAGAGGUUGGUAUCGUGAGAUAUUAAUAAAAUAGAGGUGGAACCACGUGAGAUUUAACUCCCGUCCUCUAG